UACGUAGGGAGCAAGCGUUGGCCGGAAUCAUUGGGCGUAAAGCGCGCGUAGGCGGCCCUGUAAGUCCGUUGUGAAAGUCAAAGGCUCAACCUUUGAAAGCCGAUGGAUACUGCAGGGCUAGAGUCCGGAAGAGGCGAGUGGAAUUCCUGGUGUAGCGGUGGAAUGCGCAGAUAUCAGGAGGAACACCAAUAGCGAAGGCAGCUCGCUGGGACGGUACUGACGCUAAGGCGCGAAAGCGUGGGGAGCGAACAGG
RNAcentral lists this ribosomal RNA (253 nucleotides) under uncultured bacterium. Its description in RNAcentral is "partial 16S ribosomal RNA". It matches the Rfam family "Bacterial small subunit ribosomal RNA", at positions 524 to 776 of the family's 1533-position model. The record is from RNAcentral.